This is a long non-coding RNA of Cannabis sativa, 737 nucleotides long. RefSeq lists it as uncharacterized. The transcript is spliced from 2 exons. NCBI's taxonomy places the organism in Eukaryota, Viridiplantae, Streptophyta, Magnoliopsida, Rosales, Cannabaceae. The record is from RefSeq and is a predicted model, not a curated record.
ACUCCUAAACUCAGCCGCACGCCUAAACAAAACACAAAGCCUUCUCAAUCUCAAUCCGAAACUCAACUCUCUCGCCUCUUCUCUCUCUUUGUUUCAUAGUUAUUCUUGUUAUUAUCUCUCUCGGUGGUUCGCGAAGGGGUUCUCGAUGGUGAGGGGUUGUUCUUAGUGGCUCUUUGCGUCGAUGGUGAGGGGUUGUUCUUAGAGGCUCUUCCCGGACAUAAGCUAGAGGAUGACCGGAGUUGAGUAAUAGCAGCAAUGGUGGAAAUCGAGCGACGACUGUGGAAAUCGAGCGACGACCGUGGAAAUCGAGCGACAACCGUUAUUCUUGCUUGUUGAUCAGUUUCUCUUUGUCUCUGUGCACAAAACGUUGGACGACCGUUGCCGUCCCCGUCCCCAACAAGCCCCAUCAAGGGUCGAUGGUGCGGGUUCAAGUCGACGUUCCUGGUUUCGGAUUAACGUCAGGUUCAAGUCACUAUUUAAUGUUCGUCGUUGAUUGUACUGGCCGGUUUAGCUAAGGUUCGUGGCUGCCGAUCUGAGUCGGGCGAGAUUGUUUUUGCUGAUUUGUAAAAAUCGUCCAAACCACAUCAGUGUUAUUUUGUUUUUGUAACAAUGACAUUUUGUUUGUAAUUAACUAUUUCAAUUAAGUUUUUUAUGUUCAUUUCAUUUUUCAUUUUGUAAAAUUUAUUUUCUUAUUCAGUGUAAAUUUAUUCAGUGUAAAUGAAUAUUAAGUUUUUACA